GGAAGGUUGUCCGAGCUGGCCGAAGGAGCACGCCUGGAAAGUGUGUAGGCGUCACAAGCGUCUCAAGGGUUCGAAUCCCUUACCUUCCG
Molecule: transfer RNA, 89 nt
Filed under: Pseudomonas aeruginosa
Lineage: Bacteria; Pseudomonadati; Pseudomonadota; Gammaproteobacteria; Pseudomonadales; Pseudomonadaceae
Also listed under: 1586 other names
Description: tRNA-Ser
Rfam family: tRNA
About the family: Transfer RNA (tRNA) molecules are approximately 80 nucleotides in length.
Source: RNAcentral